UACGGGGGGAGCAAGCGUGGUUCGGAUUUACUGGGCGUAAAGGGCGCGUAGGCGGCGUGACAAGUCACUUGUGAAAUCUCCGGGCUUAACUCGGAGCGGUCAAGUGAUACUGUCGUGCUAGAGUGCGGAAGGGGCUACUGGAAUUCUCGGUGUAGCGGUGAAAUGCGUAGAUAUCGAGAGGAACACCUGCGGCGAAGGCGGGUAGCUGGGCCGACACUGACGCUGAUGCGCGAAAGCCAGGGGAGCGAACGGG
This 253-nucleotide ribosomal RNA is filed under the name uncultured bacterium. Its description in RNAcentral is "partial 16S ribosomal RNA". It matches the Rfam family "Bacterial small subunit ribosomal RNA", at positions 524 to 776 of the family's 1533-position model. The record is from RNAcentral.